AGGGCUAUGAUGAAAUGGUAUCAUGGCGGUCUCCAAAACCGCUCGUCCAGGUUCGAAUCCUGGUAGCCCUGCCA
This 74-nucleotide transfer RNA is filed under the name bacterium. RNAcentral's name for it is "tRNA-Trp". It matches the Rfam family "tRNA". Rfam says of the family: Transfer RNA (tRNA) molecules are approximately 80 nucleotides in length. The record is from RNAcentral.